GAUGAACGCUGGCGGCGUGCCUAAUACAUGCAAGUCGAGCGAACAGACGAGGAUCUUGCUCCUCUGACGUUAGCGGCGGACGGGCGAGUAACACGUGGAUAACCUACCUAUAAGACUGGGAUAACUUCGGGAAACCGGAGCUAAUACCGGAUAAUAUAUUGAACCGCAUGGUUCAUUAGUGAAAGACGGUUUUGCUGUCACUUAUAGAUGGAUCCUCGCCGCAUUAGCUAGUUGGUAAGGUAACGGCUUACCAAGGCACCGAUGCGUCGCCGCCCUGAGAGGGUUGUCGGCCAAACUGGAUCUAGGACACGGUCCAGACUCCUCCGGGAGCAAGCAGUAGGGAAUCUUCCGCAAUUGGCGAAAGCCUGAGGGAGAAACGCCGAGGCAGUGACGACGGUCUUCUGAUCCUAAAACUCUGUUAUGAGGGAAGAACAAAUGUGUAAGUAACUAUGCACGUCUUGACGGUCCCUAAGCAGAAAGCGACGGCUAACUACGUG
This 497-nucleotide ribosomal RNA is filed under the name uncultured bacterium. RNAcentral describes it as "partial 16S ribosomal RNA". It matches the Rfam family "Bacterial small subunit ribosomal RNA", at positions 28 to 507 of the family's 1533-position model. The record is from RNAcentral.